RNAcentral lists this transfer RNA (97 nucleotides) under Armillaria solidipes. It matches the Rfam family "tRNA". From Rfam's summary of the family: Transfer RNA (tRNA) molecules are approximately 80 nucleotides in length. Their secondary structure includes four short double-helical elements and three loops (D, anti-codon, and T loops). Further hydrogen bonds mediate the characteristic L-shaped molecular structure. tRNAs have two regions of fundamental functional importance: the anti-codon, which is responsible for specific mRNA codon recognition, and the 3' end, to which the tRNAs corresponding amino acid is attached (by aminoacyl-tRNA synthetases). tRNAs cope with the degeneracy of the genetic code in two manners: having more than one tRNA (with a specific anti-codon) for a particular amino acid; and 'wobble' base-pairing, i.e. permitting non-standard base-pairing at the 3rd anti-codon position. Lineage: Eukaryota; Fungi; Basidiomycota; Agaricomycetes; Agaricales; Physalacriaceae. The record is from Rfam by way of RNAcentral.
GCCCGCCUAGCUCAAUCGGAUAGAGCGUCAGACUCUUACAAGAACAGGCGGUCGUUUGCGUAUCUGAAGGCUGCGAGUUCGACCCUCGCGGUGGGCU